RNAcentral lists this ribosomal RNA (433 nucleotides) under uncultured bacterium. RNAcentral's name for it is "partial 16S ribosomal RNA". It matches the Rfam family "Bacterial small subunit ribosomal RNA", at positions 29 to 507 of the family's 1533-position model. The record is from RNAcentral.
AACGAACGCUGGCGGCAUGCCUAACACAUGCAAGUCGAACGAGACCUUCGGGUCUAGUGGCGCACGGGUGCGUAACGCGUGGGAACCUGCCCUUAGGUUCGGAAUAACUCCCCGAAAGGGGUGCUAAUACCGGAUAAUGUCUUCGGACCACAGAUUUAUCGCCUUUGGAUGGGCCCGCGUUGGAUUAGCUAGUUGGUAGGGUAAAAGCCUACCAAGGCGACGAUCCAUAGCUGGUCUGAGAGGAUGAUCAGCCACACUGGGACUGAGACACGGCCCAGACUCCUACGGGAGGGAGCAGUGGGGAAUAUUGGAAAAUGGGCGAAAGCAUGAUCCAGCAAUGCCGCGUGAGUGAUGAAGGCCUUAGGGUUGUAAAGCUCUUUUACCCGGGAUGAUAAUGACAGUACCGGGAGAAUAAGCUCCGGCUAACUCCGUG